RNAcentral lists this ribosomal RNA (475 nucleotides) under uncultured Thiothrix sp. Its description in RNAcentral is "bacterial SSU rRNA". It matches the Rfam family "Bacterial small subunit ribosomal RNA", at positions 903 to 1382 of the family's 1533-position model. Lineage: Bacteria; Pseudomonadati; Pseudomonadota; Gammaproteobacteria; Thiotrichales; Thiotrichaceae. The record is from RNAcentral.
CUUAAAAUGAAGUUGACGGGGCCGCACAAGCGGUGGAGCAUGUGGUUAAUUCGAAGCAACGCGAAGAACCUUACCUGGCCUUGACAUGCUGAGAACUUUCCAGAGAUGGAUUGGUGCCUUCGGGAACUCAGACACAGGUGCUGCAUGGCUGUCGUCAGCUCGUGUCGUGAGAUGUUGGGUUAAGUCCCGUAACGAGCGCAACCCUUGUCAUUAGUUGCUACGAAAGGGCACUCUAAUGAGACUGCCGGUGACAAACCGGAGGAAGGUGGGGAUGACGUCAAGUCCUCAUGGCCCUUAUAGGUGGGGCUACACACGUCAUACAAUGGCUGGUACAAAGGGUUGCCAACCCGCGAGGGGGAGCCAAUCCCAUAAAGCCAGUCGUAGUCCGGAUCGCAGUCUGCAACUCGACUGCGUGAAGUCGGAAUCGCUAGUAAUCGUGGAUCAGCAUGUCACGGUGAAUACGUUCCCGGGUCUU